CAAGCAGUUAGCUUAUCUGUGUUCAUGAUGGUAACACCCUAAACAAAUACUUGCAAGGCUCUGAAAUUCAAAAAUUCAUCCUCCUACCUUAUAACCUAAGUAGCAGCGCAAUGCAGCCGUGAUUUCCAAGUAGUCAAUGGAUGAUAGGAGUAAUUCCCUAUCAGCAGUAAGCUGGAAAGUCCUGAUAAAGCCAUGUGUCUGGAGAUCAGGGCAUGCUGAGGCAGCAGGAAAGGCUUAGUCUGGCCAGACACAAGACACUUGCCUUUCAGAUCUACCAUAAAGAAAACCAGUACCUUGAGGAGGAAGUUCCCCUCCAGCCUGUGGGGGUUUUGCUGCUGGCCAGGCUGAAUGCGCGCCUGCUCUCCAGCACUUCCUCCUGGGAAUGCUUUUUGCAGAAGUAGAGGCUGGAGGGACCAGAUGCUGCAUAGACUUGUGUCCUCGGUCGUUCUGUUGUUUGGGUUGUUCUUCCAGGUCAGAGAAGUGGCAGCUGAAGUCUGAAUGUUUGACAGGUGGCAUUCUCUUGGCAGGAACUGUGUGAAGGCCAGCAGACACCACCGCUGCAGGCCCAGGAGGAGCCUCCGCGCUGUCGGCACCGUGGGCAUUUGAUGAGCAGGUCUUGGCCGAGCUGUUUGACUCGGCCUUGCACAUUGCUAGUGAGAGCGACUCUUCUAUUGACCCCAAUGAGAAAGGUUUUGGUCCUGGAGGGGCUGCC
Athene cunicularia (burrowing owl) is the source of this 712-nucleotide long non-coding RNA. RefSeq lists it as uncharacterized. The record is from RefSeq and is a predicted model, not a curated record. The transcript has 4 exons. Lineage: Eukaryota; Metazoa; Chordata; Aves; Strigiformes; Strigidae.